UUGCUACCAAUGGUGAGAGUGGCGCACGGGUGCGUAACGCGUGAGCAACCUACCUCUAUCAGGGGGAUAGCCUCUCGAAAGAGAGAUUAACACCGCAUAACAUCAACAGUUCGCAUGUUCGGUUGAUUAAAUAUUUAUAGGAUAGAGAUGGGCUCGCGUGACAUUAGCUAGUUGGUAGGGUAACGGCUUACCAAGGCGACGAUGUCUAGGGGCUCUGAGAGGAGAAUCCCCCACACUGGUACUGAGACACGGACCAGACUCCUACGGGAGGCAGCAGUAAGGAAUAUUGGUCAAUGGGCGGAAGCCUGAACCAGCCAUGCCGCGUGCAGGAUGACUGCCCUAUGGGUUGUAAACUGCUUUUGUCCAGGAAUAACCCCAGAUACGUGUAUCUGGCUGAAUGUACUGGAAGAAUAAGGAUCGGCUAACUCCGUGCCAGCAGCCGCGGUAAUACGGAGGAUCCGAGCGUUAUCCGGAUUUAUUGGGUUUAAAGGGUGCGUAGGCGGCCUAUUAAGUCAGGGGUGAAAUACGGUGGCUCAACCAUCGCAGUGCCUUUGAUACUGACGGGCUUGAAUCCAUUUGAAGUGGGCGGAAUAAGACAAGUAGCGGUGAAAUGCAUAGAUAUGUCUUAGAACUCCGAUUGCGAAGGCAGCUCACUAAGCUGGUAUUGACGCUGAUGCACGAAAGCGUGGGGAUCGAACAGG
Molecule: ribosomal RNA, 701 nt
Filed under: Sphingobacterium sp.
Lineage: Bacteria; Pseudomonadati; Bacteroidota; Sphingobacteriia; Sphingobacteriales; Sphingobacteriaceae
Description: bacterial SSU rRNA
Rfam family: Bacterial small subunit ribosomal RNA
Source: RNAcentral